Molecule: ribosomal RNA, 253 nt
Filed under: uncultured bacterium
Lineage: Bacteria
Description: partial 16S ribosomal RNA
Rfam family: Bacterial small subunit ribosomal RNA
Source: RNAcentral
GACAGAGGGUGCAAACGUUGUUCGGAAUUACUGGGCGUAAAGCGCGUGUAGGCUGCUCGGAAAGUCGGAUGUGAAAGCCCUGGGCUCAACCUAGGAAGUGCAUUCGAAACUACCGAGCUGGAGUUCUGGAGAGGAAGGCGGAAUUCUCGGUGUAGAGGUGAAAUUCGUAGAUAUCGAGAGGAACACCGGUGGCGAAGGCGGCCUUCUGGACAGUGACUGACGCUGAGACGCGAAAGCGUGGGGAGCAAACAGG